GAUGAAGAACGCAGCGAAAUGCGAUAAGUAAUGUGAAUUGCAGAAUUCAGUGAAUCAUCGAAUCUUUGAACGCACAUUGCGCCCCCCAGUAUUCUGGCGGGCAUGCCUGUUCGAGCGUCAUUUCAACCAUCAAGCCCUGCUUGUGUUGGGGUCCUGCGGCUGCCCGCAGGCCCUGAAAACCAGUGGCGGGCUCGCUAGUCACACCGAGCGCAGUAGCACAUCUCGCUCAGGGCGUGCGGCGGGCUCCAGCCGUUAAAGCACCCACCUUUCGCAAGGUUGACCUCGGAUCAGGUAGGAAUACCCGCUGAACUUAAGCAUAACAAUAAGCGGAGGA
Molecule: unclassified non-coding RNA, 334 nt
Filed under: soil metagenome
Description: partial contains 5.8S ribosomal RNA, internal transcribed spacer 2, and large subunit ribosomal RNA
Rfam family: 5.8S ribosomal RNA (bases 1-120)
Source: RNAcentral